RNAcentral lists this ribosomal RNA (441 nucleotides) under uncultured bacterium. Its description in RNAcentral is "partial 16S ribosomal RNA". It matches the Rfam family "Bacterial small subunit ribosomal RNA", at positions 338 to 795 of the family's 1533-position model. The record is from RNAcentral.
CCUACGGGAGGCAGCAGUCGGGAAUAUUGCGCAAUGGAGGAAACUCUGACGCAGUGACGCCGCGUGCAGGAAGAAGGUUUUCGGAUUGUAAACUGCUUUAGACAGGGAAGAAAAAAGACAGUACCUGUAGAAUAAGCUCCGGCUAACUACGUGCCAGCAGCCGCGGUAAUACGUAGGGAGCAAGCGUUAUCCGGAUUUAUUGGGUGUAAAGGGAGCGUAGACGGCAGUGCAAGUCUGAAGUGAAAGGCAAGGGCUCAACCCUUGGACUGCUUUGGAAACUGUGCUGCUGGAGUGUCGGAGAGGCAAGUGGAAUUCCUAGUGUAGCGGUGAAAUGCGUAGAUAUUAGGAGGAACACCAGUGGCGAAGGCGGCUUGCUGGACGAUGACUGACGUUGAGGCUCGAAAGCGUGGGGAGCAAACAGGAUUAGAUACCCCAGUAGUC